This 1447-nucleotide ribosomal RNA is filed under the name uncultured organism. RNAcentral describes it as "SSU rRNA". It matches the Rfam family "Bacterial small subunit ribosomal RNA". The record is from RNAcentral.
UGAACGCUAGCUACAGGCUUAACACAUGCAAGUCGAGGGGCAUCAGGAAGAAAGCUUGCUUUCUUUGCUGGCGACCGGCGCACGGGUGAGUAACACGUAUCCAACCUGCCCUUUACUCGGGGAUAGCCUUUCGAAAGAAAGAUUAAUACCCGAUAGCAUAAUGAUUCCGCAUGGUUUCAUUAUUAAAGGAUUCCGGUAAAGGAUGGGGAUGCGUUCCAUUAGGUUGUUGGUGAGGUAACGGCCCACCAAGCCUUCGAUGGAUAGGGGUUCUGAGAGGAAGGUCCCCCACAUUGGAACUGAGACACGGUCCAAACUCCUACGGGAGGCAGCAGUGAGGAAUAUUGGUCAAUGGGCGCUAGCCUGAACCAGCCAAGUAGCGUGAAGGAUGAAGGCUCUAUGGGUCGUAAACUUCUUUUAUAUAAGAAUAAAGUGCAGUAUGUAUACUGUUUUGUAUGUAUUAUAUGAAUAAGGAUCGGCUAACUCCGUGCCAGCAGCCGCGGUAAUACGGAGGAUCCGAGCGUUAUCCGGAUUUAUUGGGUUUAAAGGGAGCGUAGGUGGACUGGUAAGUCAGUUGUGAAAGUUUGCGGCUCAACCGUAAAAUUGCAGUUGAUACUGUCAGUCUUGAGUACAGUAGAGGUGGGCGGAAUUCGUGGUGUAGCGGUGAAAUGCUUAGAUAUCACGAAGAACUCCGAUUGCGAAGGCAGCUCACUGGACUGCAACUGACACUGAUGCUCGAAAGUGUGGGUAUCAAACAGGAUUAGAUACCCUGGUAGUCCACACAGUAAACGAUGAAUACUCGCUGUUUGCGAUAUACAGUAAGCGGCCAAGCGAAAAAGCAUUAAAUAUUCCACCUGGGGAGUAGGCCGGCAGCGGGGAAACUCAAAGGAAGUGACGGGGGGCCCGCACAAGCGGAGGAACAUGUGGUUUAAUUCGAUGAUACGCGAGGAACCUUACCCGGGCUUAAAUUGCAGUGGAAUGAUGUGGAAACACGUCAGUGAGCAAUCACCGCUGUGAAGGUGCGGCAUGGUUGUCGUCAGCUCGUGCGGUGAGGUGUCGGCUUAAGUGCCAUAACGAGCGCAACCCUUAUCUUUAGUUACCAACAGGUUAUGCUGAGGACUCUAGAGAGACUGCCGUCGUAAGAGGUGAGGAAGGUGGGGAUGUCGUCAAAUCAGCACGGCCCUUACGUCCGGGGAUACACACGUGUUACAAUGGGGGGUACAGAAGGCAGGUAGCGGGUGACCGUAUGAUAAUCCCAAAAUCCUCUCUCAGUUCGGAUCGAAGUCUGCAACCCGACUUCGUGAAGCUGGAUUCGGUAGUAAUCGCGCAUCAGCCACGGCGCGGUGAAUACGUUCCCGGUCCUUGUACACACCGCCCGUCAAGCCAUGGGAGCCGGGGGUACGUGAAGUACGUAACCGCAAGGAUCGUCCUAGGGUAAAACUGGUGACUG